GGCAAGAGCUGGAUGGAAACCCACAGACGACCUCCUCUAAAAAGCAUAUACAUACAGGAAUAUAGUCCAGAAAAGUUUCACAUGAAAAGAAAAAAUAAAGUGUACAUAUAAAUCAGUGGCAUAUACAUACAGGAAUAUAGUCAAGAAAAGUUUCACAUGAAAAGAAAAAAUAAAGUGUACAUAUAAAUCGGUGGU
Long non-coding RNA from Bombina bombina (fire-bellied toad), 195 nucleotides. RefSeq lists it as uncharacterized. The transcript has 3 exons. NCBI's taxonomy places the organism in Eukaryota, Metazoa, Chordata, Amphibia, Anura, Bombinatoridae. The record is from RefSeq and is a predicted model, not a curated record.